GAGGAGGGGCAUAGGUUGGAAGGGGUGGGCCGGGUCUCUCUAGCCUCCGCGGUACUACGCAGCUUCAUGGUUUUAACUCUUGGUGGUCUUUUGACCGUCCUCAGUCCUUACCGUGCGGAGUUUUGGAUACAUUCUUAGCAGCUUUUUCGCUCCGGAGAAGUUCUUUAUCUUUCUGAGCCGCAGUUUGCCCAACUGCAAAAUGGAAAGAGAUGAAGCAGGAAUUAAGAUACUCUAGGAGCUCGCCCACAGCUGAUUCAGGGCCCCAUUCUGAGGUUACACCCUUAAGCCUUUGCACCACUCAAAGGAAGGAAACCAAGAGAGAGGGGUGGCUGGCUGCUGUUUGGAGACAGUGGUCCUUGUAUUGGCGCCCCGCGGAAUCACUCCAGAUGAGUCAGUGGAUACAGUCUAUAGGUCCCGCCUCAUUGUACGCAAACAGCAGUGGGCAUAUGGCCGUGGGGGGUUGAUACAGCCUGUCCGGGGUGGGACUCUGUGUGUAUGGGAGGCUAAAUCUCAGCAGGACUUUUCCAGUUGCUACCAGACUACGCACUGUCGCCUGAUGGUUAAGAACUGAAGCUUUAGCCGUGCGCGGUGGCUCACGCCUGUAAUCCCAGCACUUUAGGAGGCAGAGGCGUGUGGAUCACCUGAGGUCACGAGUUCGAGACCAGCUUGACCAACAAGCUGGCAUAUCCGAAUGGGCUGAGCUACCGGAUUAAGAGGGACACCCCAAAGCCCCCAUUGCUGGGUUAUUGCUCCAGAGCCAAUGUUCUUGGGGAAAGGAAGAUAUGCCCUUUGUCAACAUUGCCACUGCUGGUCUGUAAACUCCUAGACGGCCAGCUGGUGGUUCACAAACCAGGACUCCUUGCUCUGGCCCUACCCCUACCUACCAGAAUGACCGUGAACCCUUCCCCACUCACUCCUACAACCAGGUUUCCAUCUCCUCUCUCAGCUUAGGUUUCCCUAACUGUAAAAUAAAAGGGUUGGACUAGGUUAAGGACUUCCUGCUAUUUCUCUCUCCCACACUCUAAGGUUCCUUAGGAAUGCUUCAGAAAACAGCAGGGGUUGGGGCAAGGAUGCCGCUUGAGUCCCAGAGCAACUCCAAUUUCAUAGGCACAUAAAUUUAUGUGAAAGUA
This 1130-nucleotide long non-coding RNA is filed under the name Homo sapiens (human). RNAcentral describes it as "HSALNT0290696". The record is from RNAcentral. Lineage: Eukaryota; Metazoa; Chordata; Mammalia; Primates; Hominidae.